RNAcentral lists this ribosomal RNA (553 nucleotides) under uncultured bacterium. RNAcentral describes it as "partial 16S ribosomal RNA". It matches the Rfam family "Bacterial small subunit ribosomal RNA", at positions 355 to 898 of the family's 1533-position model. The record is from RNAcentral.
UAGGGAAUCUUCGGCAAUGGGGGCAACCCUGACCGAGCAACGCCGCGUGAGUGAAGAAGGUUUUCGGAUCGUAAAGCUCUGUUGUAAGUCAAGAACGGGUGUGAGAGUGGAAAGUUCACACUGUGACGGUAGCUUACCAGAAAGGGACGGCUAACUACGUGCCAGCAGCCGCGGUAAUACGUAGGUCCCGAGCGUUGUCCGGAUUUAUUGGGCGUAAAGCGAGCGCAGGCGGUUUGAUAAGUCCGAAGUUAAAGGCUGUGGCUCAACCAUAGUUCGCUUUGGAAACUGUCAAACUUGAGUGCAGAAGGGGAGAGUGGAAUUCCAUGUGUAGCGGUGAAAUGCGUAGAUAUAUGGAGGAACACCGGUGGCGAAAGCGGCUCUCUGGUCUGUAACUGACGCUGAGGCUCGAAAGCGUGGGGAGCGAACAGGAUUAGAUACCCUGGUAGUCCACGCCGUAAACGAUGAGUGCUAGGUGUUGGAUCCUUUCCGGGAUUCAGUGCCGCAGCUAACGCAUUAAGCACUCCGCCUGGGGGAGUACGACCGCAAGGUUGAA